GAUGAACGCUGGCGGCGUGCCUAAUACAUGCAAGUCGAGCGGCAAGGCCUCUUCGGAGGUACACGAGCGGCGGACGGCUGAGUAACGCGUAGGAACGUACCCCAAAGUGAGGGAUAAGCACCAGAAAUGGUGUCUAAUACCGCAUGUGGCCCACGGGCUAAAGCUUCGGCGCUUUGGGAACGGCCUGCGUAAGAUUAGCUAGUUGGUGAGGUAAUGGCUCACCAAGGCGACGAUCUUUAGCUGGUCUGAGAGGAUGAUCAGCCAGACUGGGACUGAGACACGGCCCAGACUCCUACGGGAGGCAGCAGUAGGGAAUUUUCCACAAUGGGCGAAAGCCUGAUGGAGCAACGCCGCGUGCAGGAUGAAUGCCUUCGGGUUGUAAACUGCUUUUAUAUGCGACGAAUAUGACGGUAGCAUAUGAAUAAGGAUCGGCUAACUCCGUGCCAGCAGCCGCCGUAA
Molecule: ribosomal RNA, 459 nt
Filed under: uncultured bacterium
Lineage: Bacteria
Description: partial 16S ribosomal RNA
Rfam family: Bacterial small subunit ribosomal RNA
Source: RNAcentral